Molecule: transfer RNA, 79 nt
Filed under: Escherichia coli
Lineage: Bacteria; Pseudomonadati; Pseudomonadota; Gammaproteobacteria; Enterobacterales; Enterobacteriaceae
Also listed under: 2 other names
Description: tRNA-Arg
Rfam family: tRNA
About the family: Transfer RNA (tRNA) molecules are approximately 80 nucleotides in length.
Source: RNAcentral
GCGCCGGAAGUUAAAGUGGAAUGGUAACGCUUGGCUACGAACCAAGAGCCUGCGAGUUCGAAUCUCGCUCGGUGCUCCA